RNAcentral lists this ribosomal RNA (136 nucleotides) under Castor canadensis (American beaver). Lineage: Eukaryota; Metazoa; Chordata; Mammalia; Rodentia; Castoridae. The record is from RNAcentral.
GUUUAUGGCCUUACCCCCCUGAACAUAUCAGAUCGCUUCUGAUCACAGAAGAUAGGCAGGGUAGGGCCUGGAUAGUACUUGGAUGGAAUUCAGUAUUUAAUCAGAAGAAUUUUCUUGGAGAAGGCAAUUUUACACU